Long non-coding RNA from Daphnia pulicaria, 1999 nucleotides. RefSeq lists it as uncharacterized. The transcript has 11 exons. Lineage: Eukaryota; Metazoa; Arthropoda; Branchiopoda; Diplostraca; Daphniidae. The record is from RefSeq and is a predicted model, not a curated record.
UGGUCGAUCCAGAUUUGUUGAUUUCGGCGGCCAUUUUGUUUUUUCUUAAAUAGGCCCGUAUUUUUUUACUGUAUUUUCUUAUUUAUCAUCAAUAUUUGAGCUUUUUAGUGGUGUUUUUCGUACUCAGCUUUCAAAUUUACCCUAUGUACAUCUAUUUCCAGUCAUUUUGUCUUAAUUUUUUUACCAGUUAUCUUUCUCUCUCUUGCCUAUAGGAACUGUCAAAAUGGUGAUAUUUCCUUCAGUAACCAGCUUUUUUCCCAUCAAAACACCCCUAUUUUCUUUGUAAAAUAUCAAUUAUGGGGUAGGGCUUGGGACCCUUUUUCUGAAGAAAUUACCAGUAUUAUUGGUUAUCAGUGGAAUUUUCUUCAUCGUUAACUAUGAAGGCUGGAAUAAGAACAUAGUAGCUAUUGAAUUCGUUUAAUUGGAAAUAUGGAACGUAAAGGUUGUGAUUUAACAAGCGAAGAACAAAAGGCUCGAGUUAAGAAGUACAAUGACAGUCGAAGAAAAGGAAUGAAAUCUUUCGGACUAUUUGCUAGUCGUGCGGAUAACUCAGGAGACGGAAAAGUUCUGAACUUGUAGCUCAAAGUAGGAAUAAGCAAAAGAGAGAUGAAAUUUUUUAUCGGUGGCCAGAUAUCCAUGAUCAACCAGCUCAUUCAUUUACGGGGUCACCUGGGACUUGCAAGCUAGGAAGCACUUUAUUAGUUCAAACUACACAAGGUUUACGUCAGAUUUGCACAUUAAAAAUCUAUUUCGAAAAUAGUGACGCAUUACAAAUCGAAGAAUUGGAAUGAUGUUGUUCGCGGUGCGGAAUUCCAGCAAUUCGCUUAUCAUCGUAUCCUAAUAAUGUUGUUUCUUGAGUUAAAUGCGCCCGAACAAGUACUUGAUUCCAUCAAUUUCCAAGUUUUGACGGCUUUCUGUCAUACACUGCACAUUCUGAGACCAGCGAAGGCCCCAGGCUUUGCGUAUGCCUGGCUAGAAAUAUUUUCGCAUACGGUUUUCAUCGGGCGAUUGCUGUUGAUUACUCCCCAACAGAAAGGAUGGGGGAUGUAUACUCAACUGUUGAUCGACUUAUUCAAGUUUUUGGCCCCAUUUCUACGGAACGUUGAACUGAGCAAGCCUGCAAUGUUGUACAAAGGAACACUGCGCGUCCUGCUGGUUUUGUUGCAUGACUUUCCCGAAUUCCUUUUCGACUAUCAUUAUGGAUUCUGUGAUGUGAUUCCUCCCAAUUGCAUUCAAAUGAGAAAUUUGAUUUUGUCGGCGUUCCCACGCAACAUGCGUCUGCCUGAUCCAUUCACGCCCAGUCUCAAAGUGGACAUGUUACCGGAAAUCCGUCACGCUCCACGUGUACUGACUCAUUUCGCAGUUCAAUGAUCCAACCGCCUACGCUCAAAAAGGAUUUGAACUCGUACCUGUAAACGCGCGGACCAGUUACGUUUCUUUCGGAGUUACGAAGUGUAGUUCAGGUUCACGUUUCUUCGAUUAAUCUUCACGUUUCACCUGAACCUGGAAUGCACUAUAAUUUGCCCUUGCUGAACGCAUUGGUCUUGUACGUUGGCACCCAGGCCAUACAAUCGAUACAGACCAAAGGAUUAUCUCCGUCAAUGGCGACUAAUGGCCACUCUUCUUACAUGGAUAUCUUCCAGAGUUUAGCCGUCAACCUUGACACGGAAGGGCGUUACUUGUUCAUCAACGCCAUUGCUAAUCAAUUGCGCUAUCCUAAUAGCCACACGCACUACUUCAGCUGCGUUCUGCUUUGCCUUUUCGCAGAAGCCAAUUCUGAGGCGAUUCAAGAACAAAUUACUAGGGUCCUGCUGGAGAGGCUCAUUGUCAAUCGACCCAUGACAUGACGAUGGGACGACAUGACGAUGGGUGCCAUGGGGAUUACUCAUUACAUUCAUUGAAUUGAUAAAGAACCCUGUUUUCAAAUUUUGGAAUCACGAAUUCGUCCACUGCGCCCCGGAAAUCGAAAAACUAUUUGAAUCGGUGGCUCUAUCAUGCA